GAUGAACGCUAGCGGGAGGCUUAACACAUGCAAGUCGAGGGGCAUCACGAGAUAGCAAUAUUUUGGUGGCGACCGGCGCACGGGUGAGUAACACGUAUGCAACCUACCCUGUACAGGGGGAUAGCCCGGAGAAAUUCGGAUUAAUACCCCAUAAAGAUAUUUUGAGGCAUCUUUAAAUAUUUAAAGCUUCGGCGGUACGGGAUGGGCAUGCGCAACAUUAGCUAGUUGGUAGGGUAACGGCCUACCAAGGCUACGAUGUUUAGGGGACCUGAGAGGGUGAUCCCCCACACUGGUACUGAGACACGGACCAGACUCCUACGGGUGGCUG
This 328-nucleotide ribosomal RNA is filed under the name uncultured Bacteroidota bacterium. RNAcentral's name for it is "bacterial SSU rRNA". It matches the Rfam family "Bacterial small subunit ribosomal RNA", at positions 28 to 351 of the family's 1533-position model. Lineage: Bacteria; Pseudomonadati; Bacteroidota. The record is from RNAcentral.